Non-coding RNA from Ostrea edulis (European flat oyster), 84 nucleotides. NCBI's taxonomy places the organism in Eukaryota, Metazoa, Mollusca, Bivalvia, Ostreida, Ostreidae. The record is from the annotation of a RefSeq genome assembly.
GCCUGGAUAGCUCAGUGGUUAGAGCAUCUGACGAGCACCUGACUAAUAAUGCAGGAGUCCUGGGUUCAAAUCCCGGUCCAGCCA